GAGUUUGAUCAUGGCUCAGAUUGAACGCUGGCGGCAUGCCUAACACAUGCAAGUCGAACGGUAACAGGUCUUCGGAUGCUGACGAGUGGCGGACGGGUGAGUAAUGCGUAGGAAUCUGUCUUUUAGUGGGGGACAACCCAGGGAAACUUGGGCUAAUACCGCAUGAGCCCUGAGGGGGAAAGCGGGGGAUCUUCGGACCUCGCGCUAAGAGAGGAGCCUACGUCCGAUUAGCUAGUUGGCGGGGUAAAGGUCCACCAAGGCGACGAUCGGUAGCUGGUCUGAGAGGACGACCAGCCACACUGGGACUGAGACACGGCCCAGACUCCUACGGGAGGCAGCAGUGGGGAAUUUUUCGCAAUGGGGGCAACCCUGACGAAGCAAUGCCGCGUGGAUGAAGAAGGCCUUCGGGUUGUAAAGUCCUUUCGUGGAGGACGAAAAGGUGGGUUCUAAUACAAUCUGCUAUUGACGUGAAUCCAAGAAGAAGCACCGGCUAACUCCGUGCCAGCAGCCGCGGUAAUACGGGGGGUGCAAGCGUUAAUCGGAAUCACUGGGCGUAAAGGGUGCGUAGGCGGUACGUUAGGUCUGUCGUGAAAUC
Molecule: ribosomal RNA, 595 nt
Filed under: uncultured bacterium
Lineage: Bacteria
Description: bacterial SSU rRNA
Rfam family: Bacterial small subunit ribosomal RNA
Source: RNAcentral